Molecule: long non-coding RNA, 709 nt
Organism: Humulus lupulus (European hop)
Lineage: Eukaryota; Viridiplantae; Streptophyta; Magnoliopsida; Rosales; Cannabaceae
Exons: 2
Source: RefSeq, a predicted model, not a curated record
AUUCAAAAUCAUGCAUAUGAUCUCUCUCACUUGUCCUUGUCCUUACUCUCUCCUAUUUAUUACUUUUAUUUUCAUUCCAUUACCACUUAACUUAUUGCUCUCUCUCUCUCUCUCUAUAUAUAUAUCUAUAUAUAUAUAUAUAUAGAUAGAUAGAUAGAUCCCCACUAAUAUUGUAGCUAGCUCUGCUUUCACUUUGAACAUAAAACCAAGUUCUCUGUUUAUGCCAAAAACUUGUUAUAGCUCUCAACACUCUUAUUCUUAUAUACAUACGUACUCUUGAGAUUAAUAUUAGUAAUAUAUAAAAGAUAAAUAGGUGAAAAUGGUGAUGAUGGGGUUGGAAAGGCUGAUGGUGAGUUUGAAGACAAAGAUAAGAUCUCUGAAGAUGAAGAAACCUUAUGAUAAGAUCGAGAAGAGUGAAAGCAUGAGAGUGGAGAUAAGAAGCAAGAAAGCCCAGAAGCUUAUUGAAAAGACUCUCAAGAUUGCUGAUUCUCCAACUGCCAAGUCCUAUGCUUUUUGACUACUUCUUCUACUAGAAACAAACUACUUAUGAUCUCUUAACUUCUUAGAACAAACAAGACUACAAGAGUGAAGUGAACUAGUAUAAUUAUAUUGAUAAUCUUAUGCUUAAUUUUUCCAUAUGCUGAUCUUCUACUCUUAUCUCGUUUCUCCUUUUUUUUAUGGUUUAUACAAGAUGAUGAAGUUAAGGGUC